Molecule: long non-coding RNA, 106 nt
Organism: Etheostoma spectabile (orangethroat darter)
Lineage: Eukaryota; Metazoa; Chordata; Actinopteri; Perciformes; Percidae
Exons: 3
Source: RefSeq, a predicted model, not a curated record
UGCACUGUUGCUAGUUACCAUGCUCUUGAACUCUUGAACUGCAGUUCUGCUGGCUCAGCUGUGGUGUCAGGUUACAGCCUGUUGCUACAAAUUCAUAACGUUAAUU